UCUUGAAGGGCUCUGAGACAGGGUACUAAUGUUGCAAGCUGCCAUUUAUGGUCUUCUAAAUCUAAGUGGAGAUGCAAGAAUUAUUGAUCAAGAAACUGGGCUAAGAUAUUGAUGGGUCAACUCCAGUUCUUUUCAGUGGUAAGCAGGGCUGAGAUUGGAGAAUGCUAUAGGGUUUUGACCCAUUUUUUGAUCAAUUUUUUUGUAAGUUGGGAAGAUAUUGCUUCUUUUCUCCUGUGUUUGCUUUUAGCAACACUGUCCAUGGGUACUUGUCUGAAAGGACAAACAUUUUACUGCGUAUGCCUACAAAUAUCUUAUAAACUCUGUAGCUUUUUGUUGUGGAAUUGUGAAUUAUAAUGGAGCUGAACAAAAAAUAAAAGUUUAUAUUGUGAUCA
This is a long non-coding RNA of Macadamia integrifolia, 392 nucleotides long. RefSeq lists it as uncharacterized. The transcript is spliced from 2 exons. Lineage: Eukaryota; Viridiplantae; Streptophyta; Magnoliopsida; Proteales; Proteaceae. The record is from RefSeq and is a predicted model, not a curated record.